RNAcentral lists this small RNA (28 nucleotides) under Bombyx mori (domestic silkworm). RNAcentral's name for it is "ovarian small RNA-24143". The record is from RNAcentral. Lineage: Eukaryota; Metazoa; Arthropoda; Insecta; Lepidoptera; Bombycidae.
UAUUCACAGUUUGAACAGAAGUAGCCAC